Molecule: non-coding RNA, 24 nt
Filed under: Macaca fascicularis (crab-eating macaque)
Lineage: Eukaryota; Metazoa; Chordata; Mammalia; Primates; Cercopithecidae
Also listed under: 4 other names
Source: RNAcentral
AACGCCAAGGUCGCGGGUUCGAUC